AUGUGAGGCAGAGCCCAUGGAAGCCAGUGCGCAGGCUGUCAGCCCCGCCGUUCCAUUUGGAACGAUCCAUUUUGAAAACAGGAAAAUUAUGGUCGAGAAGCAAUAAAGAGCUCAGUUAUCUGCCGCCUUUCACUUUGUCUUGUUGCCUACACAGAUGCAGAAUGCCAAAUUUCUGCUGUUUCUCUGGCAGUGCCUUGCGUGGGCGCUCCCAGAGCUUCCUUUUCCUUAGGAGACCGCGGGACGGAGGAGAAUGCAAUCCAUGGCCACUUCUGGGGUGUGCAGUGCACAGAGGAUGCCAUGCAGCAAACACAGAGGUCUAAUCACUCAGUGGUGAUUACCAAGUCCUGGGCUCAUCUGUUGAGGGGAGUCAUUACAAACAGUACUCUGGAGAUCUCUCUAACAAAAUAUUAG
RNAcentral lists this long non-coding RNA (411 nucleotides) under Zonotrichia albicollis (white-throated sparrow). RNAcentral's name for it is "lncRNA (ENSZALG00000002029.1)". Lineage: Eukaryota; Metazoa; Chordata; Aves; Passeriformes; Passerellidae. The record is from RNAcentral.